This 369-nucleotide ribosomal RNA is filed under the name uncultured bacterium. RNAcentral's name for it is "bacterial SSU rRNA". It matches the Rfam family "Bacterial small subunit ribosomal RNA", at positions 527 to 896 of the family's 1533-position model. The record is from RNAcentral.
GGAGGAUGCGAGCGUUAUCCGGAUUUAUUGGGUUUAAAGGGUGCGUAGGCGGACAAAUAAGUCAGUGGUGAAAACCUGCAGCUUAACUGUAGACUUGCCGUUGAUACUGUUAGUCUUGAGUAUGGUCAAGGUAGGCGGAAUGUGUAAUGUAGCGGUGAAAUGCUUAGAUAUUACACAGAACACCGAUUGCGAAGGCAGCUUGCUGGGCCAUUACUGACGCUCAUGUACGAAAGCGUGGGGAGCAAACAGGAUUAGAUACCCUGGUAGUCCACGCCCUAAACGAUGUCUACUAGUUGUCGGAGGGUAACUCCUUCGGUAACGCAGCUAACGCGUGAAGUAGACCGCCUGGGGAGUACGGUCGCAAGAUUA